Long non-coding RNA from Passer domesticus (house sparrow), 1437 nucleotides. RefSeq lists it as uncharacterized. NCBI's taxonomy places the organism in Eukaryota, Metazoa, Chordata, Aves, Passeriformes, Passeridae. The record is from RefSeq and is a predicted model, not a curated record. The transcript has 3 exons.
UCACAGGAGAAGCAAAUGAGAUAAAAAUGUUUUCCUUUUUCUCUGAGGCUUCUCAGCUUCUCAGGAGAAAAAUCCUGGCAAAGGGAUUUUUCAGAAAAUAUGAAUGUGACAGGGACUGACUUGAUGAAGAGCCUAAAAAACAACUAGAAGAGUGAGACUAAUAAUUGAGGAUGUUGCACAAGAAUGGGAAAUCCUGUAUCUAAAGAAAAAGUUACACCUGAAACUCAAAUUGAUAAACUGUGUGGAUAAAUGGGGAACUACCUUUCCUCUAGAAGGAUUGUGCAGGACAGGAACUGGCUGGAAAAGGAAACUGCAGAAGGAUGCAAUCCUUCUGGAACAGGCUGCUCCUGCAUGGAUCGACAAGGGGUAAAAAGUUCUACCAGCAAACUUGCUCCAGUGUGAACUUCUCUACUGUUCCACAGGAGAAGGUCUGCCCAGCUGCAAGCAUGGAUAAAUGUCCAGCUGAGGGUUGGGUUCUGAGCAGAAGUUGACUGCUUUGCCAUGUGGGGGCUGGCCACCUCCCUUGAUGACCAACAAACUCACAGAUCUACUGCCACCAUUUUCCUGGGGUACAUGGCAUUUGUUUCAUGGUGGACACAGUCACCUGGGGAAAGAGCCUUGCUGUGUCUUGGCACAAAAAACAAUGAGGUGUGUUUCCACAUAGCCACGAGCAGAAGUUUGGAGCAUCAAAGUACAUCAAAAUAGCUUGCAGCUGGAGAGGUCAUGCUAGAGCUGUGCUGUGGAGCUCAGACGUGAUUGUCAACCACCCAGGCUGACCUUCAGCAUACAGACAUAGCCCAGAUAGCUAAUAAAUCAAAUAAACUCUCUAUGCCAUCUGAAGCAUCCUAAUCCCAGGUUUUCUGUGCCUUUUCCUUUUUUAUUUUAAAAGCAUUUUUGUGACUAGUUAGUUUUGCUCUCUGAGUUUGCUGAACCACUGCUUCAACCACUACUUCACCCUGUAUCAUAUGCAUUGUAUUUUUCUUACAUGCUCUGCCUGUAACUAUGUGCAGGAGAAAAUAUCCAUCUGUUAAAGGCUGAGGUAUUAGACAGAGGGAGAGACAGUUUUAAAUAGGUAUUACAGGCAUGUCAAAUUAAGUUAAACAGAGAUGAUUAGACAAAAAAAAGUCCCAGGAAAAUCUGGGUGACAUUUUAUUCUUGUCAAAACAUGAAAAAUUGUAAGAGGAGGAGUGGAAGAAAAAGGCUGUUUAAUCUCAGAAUCUCCCAUUCUAGUUAGAUAGCUGCUGUACUCUCAAAAUACAAUGAUUUAACCAUGACAUGAAGAUGAUGAUGUGCAAUCGACUGUAUCAACAGUUUUGCAGAUGUUUAUUUGAAGUUUAAUGUUAAUGAAAUGCAGAGAUGUGCCUUGUAGGUUCUUGGUUUAGUUUUUGGGUUUUUAUUUUGGUUUGUUUUUUUUCUCUCCUCAAGUCCCAGUUUUCA